UCUUUACAUGAUCACAAAAAAAAAGGAGAAAAGAUGCAUAAAGUUCCCCAAAAACACAUUAUCAAUAGCAAAAUUUCACAAGCCAUUCAAUCACCUAAUCUGUGGGAGUACAAGUGCAGGGUGACACAAUUUCACUAGUCUUUGCCAAC
Molecule: long non-coding RNA, 149 nt
Organism: Rhodamnia argentea
Lineage: Eukaryota; Viridiplantae; Streptophyta; Magnoliopsida; Myrtales; Myrtaceae
Exons: 3
Source: RefSeq, a predicted model, not a curated record